CAGUCGCCACGGUAAUACGUAGGUGGCAAGCGUUGUCCGGAAUUAUUGGGCGUAAAGGGCUCGCAGGCGGUUUCUUGAGUCUGAUGUGAAAGCCCCCGGCUCAACCGGGGAGGGCCAUUGGAAACUGGGAAACUUGAGUGCAGAAGAGGAGAGUGGAAUUCCACGUGUAGCGGUGAAAUGCGUAGAGAUGUGGAGGAACACCAGUGGCGAAGGCGACUCUCUGGUCUGUAACUGACGCUGAGGAGCGAAAGCGUGGGGAGCGAACAGGAUUAGAUACCCGCGUAGUCCCUGUCUCUUAUAC
RNAcentral lists this ribosomal RNA (301 nucleotides) under uncultured bacterium. RNAcentral's name for it is "partial 16S ribosomal RNA". It matches the Rfam family "Bacterial small subunit ribosomal RNA", at positions 509 to 807 of the family's 1533-position model. The record is from RNAcentral.